Molecule: ribosomal RNA, 443 nt
Filed under: uncultured bacterium
Lineage: Bacteria
Description: partial 16S ribosomal RNA
Rfam family: Bacterial small subunit ribosomal RNA
Source: RNAcentral
CCUACGGGAGGCAGCAGUGGGGAAUAUUGGGCAAUGGGCGCAAGCCUGACCCAGCAACGCCGCGUGAAGGAAGAAGGCUUUCGGGUUGUAAACCUCUUUUCGUAGGGACGAAGAAAGUGGCGGUACCCUAGGAAUAAGCUACGGCUAACUACGUGUAAGGAGCCGUGGUAAUACGUAGGUGGCAAGCGUUAUCCGGAUUUAUUGGGUGUAAAGUGCGUGUAGGUGGGAAAGCAAGUCAGAUGUGAAAGCUCAGGGCUCAACCCUGAGACUGCAUUAGAAACUGUUUGUCUUGAGUGCAGGAGAGGCGAGCGGAAUUCCUUGUGUAGCGGUGGAAUGCGUAGAUAUACGGAGGAACACCAGUGGCGAAGGCGGAUUGCUGGACUGUAACUGACGCUGAGGCGCGAAAGCGUGGGGAGCAAACAGGAUUAGAUACCCGUGUAGUC